RNAcentral lists this ribosomal RNA (477 nucleotides) under uncultured bacterium. Its description in RNAcentral is "partial 16S ribosomal RNA". It matches the Rfam family "Bacterial small subunit ribosomal RNA", at positions 30 to 507 of the family's 1533-position model. The record is from RNAcentral.
AUUGAACGCUGGCGGCAUGCCUUACACAUGCAAGUCGAACGGUAACAGGUUAAGCUGACGAGUGGCGAACGGGUGAGUAAUGUAUCGGAACGUGCCCAGUCGUGGGGGAUAACUGCUCGAAAGAGCAGCUAAUACCGCAUACGACCUGAGGGUGAAAGCGGGAGAUCGCAAGACCUCGCGCGAUUGGAGCUGCCGUUAUCAGAUUAGGUAGUUGGUGAGGUAAAGGCUCACCAAGCCGACGAUCUGUAGCUGGUCUGAGAGGACGACCAGCCACACUGGGACUGAGACACGGCCCAGACUCCUACGGGAGGCAGCAGUGGGGAAUUUUGGGCAAUGGGCGCAAGCCUGAUCCAGCCAUGCCGCGUGAGGGAAGAAGGCCUUCGGGUCGUAAACCGCUUUUGUCAGGGAAGAAAAGGUUCUGGCUAAUACCUGGGACUCAUGACGGUACCUGAAGAGUAAGCACCGGCUAACUACGUG